UUUGCAUUAAUAGGGUUCAUUAGACAUAUUUUUCUUGUUUAAAAAAAUCAAAAAAACCCUGGCCAAUCCGACCCGGUUCGACCGGACCAGAUCAGCCCGACCCGGUCGUUCUCCCCUUCUUCUUUUUUCUCACGUGGGCCGGCCCAACUCUUCUCACCUUCGGCCUGGCCCGGCCCACCUCUUGUCUCUUUCUCCUUUUUCCCUUGCAAUGAAGCAGAGGAGAGCGUCGCGUACGGGUACAGGGGGCGUCGCGGAGCAAAGCGCUGCAGCAGGCGGCGGCGUCGAUCGUCGAGGCGCAGAGCAGAGGGGCAGCCGUGGUACCCAAAGCGAGGAGGUUAUCCUCUUCUCUCUCGGCGUUAAAAGAAGGAGGGGAGCUCGGUGAACAGGGGAGGAAUCAGAGAGAGAGAAAGACCGAGGAAGAAAAGGAGGAUCGAGGGGUCCUUAGAGAGGAGAGUGUUCCGGCCGCUCCAUCGGAGGCGGCCAGACAAAUCUCCUCCCCCUCUCCACCGUGCGUCGAGAGCCGAGCUAACCGUCCCCUCAUUUCCGGUCGUCGGAGAUCCAUGCGGGGCAGGAAGUUGAAAACAGAGAGAGUUCGGAGAAGAGAGAACAAAGAGCGAGAGGAGGAGACCGAGAGAGAUUGGUGAGUUUUCGAGUCUUACCCGCUCGCCGUCGGACCACCCGAGACGCCGUCGAACCCCCCCAGCCGUCGCGCCUCACUCCGGCCAGCCGCAAACAAGUAGGUUCUCAUCCUUGUCUUCCCCUGUUUCCGCCCCUUUUCCCCUGCCUCUCGGGUGCCAGGCACACCGAGCCCAUUCGGUGAUCGCCCGGCCUCGUCGACCGAAGUGAACAUUUCUUUGACACCCAGUGAGGACGGUCUAAACGCUAUAUGUCGAAAAUCGACCAUAAACUUUGUCAAAAUCGGAUCUGUGACUCCAUUCUCAGGCUGCACCACACCUGUUUGAUCAAAUGUCCAAACCAAACUGUUUAAGCUUUUAGUGUCAAAUCUGGUCGUGUUGUUUUUUAGCAUUUCGUUGCCAACUCAGAUGGAGCUAGAGUGAAAUAUACCAGUCUAGAUCUUCACAUAUCAUGAUAGGGCCAAAAAGUGUGUUGGAUGUCACUUUAGAACACACAUCUCAACUUGCACGUUACAUGUUCAAUGAAAUGUCCAAAUGAGGAACCGAAUUAAUUUUCACGAAUCAAUGCUUGGAACUUGGUUUUUUAUACUUGAUUAGUUCUCAUAUAUGUUGAAUGGUAACUGAAAUCUAUAUUUUUUAUGUGGUUUUAUUGCAAUGUGCACUUCGUUCGAGUCGGCCGUGUGUGCACAGUCCCUCACCGGAGGAGCAACUCCCUUGCCGAUGAAGCCUACGGUUGAGGGUCGUCCCUGUUAGCUCCCUGGCCUUCCCACUCCUUCGCAGGAGUGCUUAUUUGCUUAUCGUCCUUGACCUGAGCCUACUGAUCCAUCAACGGCGACUGUCCCUGCCUCAUGAGCUCGCCGGCGAUCAUGUUUCUGCUCUUUGUGCCUUGUUGCUGCAGUCCAACCGAGCUCCCGAUCCGCGACACUGCAGCUGUCGAGCCACUACCUUGGCCAAGCAUCACCACCGCAAGUCCCACAAAUCCGCGAGGUAGUCACCGACCCCCCUUGCCGCGAGCACCACCAUGGCUAUCCUUGGCCAAGCACCAUCCUUGCCGAGACCAUCACUAGCGUGCCCUCGACAUUUAAUCCAUUGCCGUUCGUGAGGCACCGCCAGUCAUCGAUCUCGAGCUGGCCGUCAAGUUCAAAUUUGGAAGUCAAUCUUUGAAUUAGGUAACGAUCUCACGUGAUAUAAAUUUGAAUAUUUCAUUAUCUAAUUUGAUGGUUUUUUGUUAUCUUUGAGUUAUAUUGCAUAUCUCCAAGAUUACUA
Syzygium oleosum is the source of this 1901-nucleotide long non-coding RNA. RefSeq lists it as uncharacterized. The record is from RefSeq and is a predicted model, not a curated record. The transcript is spliced from 2 exons. NCBI's taxonomy places the organism in Eukaryota, Viridiplantae, Streptophyta, Magnoliopsida, Myrtales, Myrtaceae.